Molecule: ribosomal RNA, 504 nt
Filed under: uncultured bacterium
Lineage: Bacteria
Description: bacterial SSU rRNA
Rfam family: Bacterial small subunit ribosomal RNA
Source: RNAcentral
GAUCCUGGCUCAGGAUGAACGCUAGCUACAGGCUUAACACAUGCAAGUCGAGGGGAAACGAUAGAGAAAGCUUGCUUUUUCUAGGCGUCGACCGGCGCACGGGUGAGUAACGCGUAUCCAACCUGCCCACCACUUGGGGAUAACCUUGCGAAAGUAAGACUAAUACCCAAUGACGUCUCUAGAAGACAUCUGAAAGAGAUUAAAGAUUUAUCGGUGAUGGAUGGGGAUGCGUCUGAUUAGCUUGUUGGCGGGGUAACGGCCCACCAAGGCGACGAUCAGUAGGGGUUCUGAGAGGAAGGUCCCCCACAUUGGAACUGAGACACGGUCCAAACUCCUACGGGAGGCAGCAGUGAGGAAUAUUGGUCAAUGGACGAGAGUCUGAACCAGCCAAGUAGCGUGCAGGAUGACGGCCCUAUGGGUUGUAAACUGCUUUUAUAAGGGAAUAAAGUGGGAGUCGUGACUCUUUUGCAUGUACCUUAUGAAUAAGGACCGGCUAAUUCCGUG